GAUGAACGCUGGCGGCGCGCCUAACACAUGCAAGUCGAACGGUUAAAGCACCUUUUAGGUGUGUAUAAAGUGGCGAACGGCUGAGUAACACGUGGGCAACCUGCCCUCCUCUUGGGGAUAGCCUCGGGAAACCGAGGAUAAUACCCGAUACUUCAAUGUGGCCGCAUGACGACAUUGAGAAAGCUUUUGCGGAGAAGGAUGGGCCCGCGGCCUGUUAGCUUGUUGGUGGGGUAGAGGCCUACCAAGGCAAUGAUGGGUAGCUGGGUUGAGAGACCGACCAGCCAGAUUGGGACUGAGACACGGCCCAGACUCCUACGGGAGGCAGCAGUGGGGAAUCUUGCACAAUGGGCGAAAGCCUGAUGCAGCGACGCCGCGUGCGGGACGAAGGCCUUCGGGUUGUAAACCGCUUUCAGCAGGGACGAGGCGAUAAGUGACGGUACCUGCAGAAGAAGCCCCGGCUAACUACGUGCCAGCAGCCGCGGUAAUACGUAGGGGGCAAGCGUUAUCCGGAUUCAUUGGGCGUAAAGCGCUCGUAGGCGGUCUGUUAGGUCGGGAGUUAAAUCCGGAGGCUCAACCUCCGCCCGCUCCCGAUACCGGCAGACUUGAGUUUGGUAGGGGAAGGUGGAAUUCCUAGUGUAGCGGUGGAAUGCGCAGAUAUUAGGAAGAACACCAGUGGCGAAGGCGGCCUUCUGGGCCAUAACUGACGCUGAGGAGCGAAAGCUAGGGGAGCAAACAGG
RNAcentral lists this ribosomal RNA (737 nucleotides) under uncultured Atopobium sp. Its description in RNAcentral is "bacterial SSU rRNA". It matches the Rfam family "Bacterial small subunit ribosomal RNA", at positions 28 to 776 of the family's 1533-position model. The record is from RNAcentral. Lineage: Bacteria; Bacillati; Actinomycetota; Coriobacteriia; Coriobacteriales; Atopobiaceae.